Molecule: ribosomal RNA, 940 nt
Filed under: Erwinia sp. South_Africa_M
Lineage: Bacteria; Pseudomonadati; Pseudomonadota; Gammaproteobacteria; Enterobacterales; Erwiniaceae
Description: bacterial SSU rRNA
Rfam family: Bacterial small subunit ribosomal RNA
Source: RNAcentral
CCAUCGGAUGUGCCCAGAUGGGAUUAGCUAGUAGGUGGGGUAAUGGCUCACCUAGGCGACGAUCCCUAGCUGGUCUGAGAGGAUGACCAGCCACACUGGAACUGAGACACGGUCCAGACUCCUACGGGAGGCAGCAGUGGGGAAUAUUGCACAAUGGGCGCAAGCCUGAUGCAGCCAUGCCGCGUGUGUGAAGAAGGCCUUAGGGUUGUAAAGCACUUUCAGCGAGGAGGAAGGGUUCGGGGUUAAUAGCACUGAGGAUUGACGUUACUCGCAGAAGAAGCACCGGCUAACUCCGUGCCAGCAGCCGCGGUAAUACGGAGGGUGCAAGCGUUAAUCGGAAUUWCUGGGCGUAAAGCGCMCGCAGGCGGUUUGUUAAGUCAGAUGUGAAAUCCCCGAGCUUAACYUGGGAACUGCAUUUGAAACUGGCMAGCUAGAGUYUUGUAGAGGGGGGUAGAAUUYCAGGUGUAGCGGUGAAAUGCGUAGAGAUYUGGAGGAAUACCGGUGGCGAAGGCGGCCCCCUGGACAAAGRMUGACGCUCAGGUGCGAAAGCGUGGGGAGCAAACAGGAUUAGAUWCCCUGGUAGUYCMCGCYGUAAACGAUGUYGACUUGGAGGUUGUKCCCUUGAGGRGUGGCUUCCGGAGCUAACGCGUUAAGUYGACCGCCUGGGGAGUACGGCCGCAAGGUUAAAACUCAAAUGAAUUGACGGGGGCCCGCACAAGCGGUGGAGCAUGUGGUUUAAUUUGAUGCAACGCGAAGAACCUUACCUACUUUUGACAUCCAGAGAAUUCGCUAGAGAUAGCUUAGUGCCUUUGGGAACUUUGAGACAGGUGCUGCAUGGCUGUUGUCAACUUGUGUUGUGAAAAGUUGGGUUAAAUCCCGCAACGAGCGCAACCCUUAUCCUUUGUUGCCAGCGAGUAAUGUCGGGAACUCAAAGGAGACU